GACGAACGCUGGCGGCGUGCUUAACACAUGCAAGUCGAACGGAAAGGCCCUGCUUUUGUGGGGUGCUCGAGUGGCGAACGGGUGAGUAACACGUGAGUAACCUGCCCUUUACUUUGGGAUAACUUCAGGAACCUGGGGCUAAUACCGGAUAGGAGCUCCUGCUGCAUGGUGGGGGUUGGAAAGUUUCGGCGCUUGGGGAUGGACUCGCGGCUUAUCAGCUUGUUGGUGGGGUAGUGGCUUACCAAGGCUUUGACGGGUAGCCGGCCUGAGAGGGUGACCGGCCACAUUGGGACUGAGACACCGCCCAGACUCCUACGGGAGGCAGCAGUGGGGAAUAUUGCACAAUGGGCGGAAGCCUGAUGCAGCAACGCCGCGUGCGGGAUGACGGCCGUCGGCUUGUAAACCGCUUUCGCCUGUGACGAAGCGUGAGUGACGGUAAUGGGUAAAGAAGCACCGGCUAACUACGUG
This 468-nucleotide ribosomal RNA is filed under the name uncultured bacterium. Its description in RNAcentral is "partial 16S ribosomal RNA". It matches the Rfam family "Bacterial small subunit ribosomal RNA", at positions 28 to 507 of the family's 1533-position model. The record is from RNAcentral.